AUUGAACGCUGGCGGCAUGCCUUACACAUGCAAGUCGAACGGCAGCACGGGAGCAAUCCUGGUGGCGAGUGGCGAACGGGUGAGUAAUAUAUCGGAACGUGCCCGGUCGUGGGGAUAACGUAGCGAAAGCUACGCUAAUACCGCAUACGAUCUACGGAUGAAAGCGGGGGAUCGCAAGACCUCGCGCGAUUGGAGCGGCCGAUAUCAGAUUAGGUAGUUGGUGAGGUAAAGGCUCACCAAGCCGACGAUCUGUAGCUGGUCUGAGAGGACGACCAGCCACACUGGGACUGAGACACGGCCCAGACUCCUACGGGAGGCAGCAGUGGGGAAUUUUGGACAAUGGGCGCAAGCCUGAUCCAGCAAUGCCGCGUGCAGGAUGAAGGCCUUCGGUUGG
Molecule: ribosomal RNA, 394 nt
Filed under: uncultured bacterium
Lineage: Bacteria
Description: bacterial SSU rRNA
Rfam family: Bacterial small subunit ribosomal RNA
Source: RNAcentral